AAUACAGUACUUGUUAUGCCUUAUUAAAAAAAAGUUUUAUAACAUAAGGAAUUAUAACAAAGAAGCAACACAUAAAAUAUGACAUUCAUAUUUUUUAGUGUGUAUCAAUCGAGUUUCUGACCUAUCAGCUUUUGAUGUUAGGAUAUGGGCCUAACAUGGCUAUGACGGGUAACGGGGAAUUAGAGUUCGAUUCCGGAGAGGGAGCCUGAGAAACGGCUACCACAUCUAAGGAAGGCAGCAGGCGCGUAAAUUACCCAAUUCUAAAGAAGAGAGGUAGUGACAAGAAAUAAUAGGACAAGACUAAUUUUUUAGUUUUGUAUCUGUGCUGAUAGAAUUUUAAAACCAUUCUAAAAUUCAAUUGGAGGGCAAGUCUGGUGCCAGCAGCCGCGGUAAUUCCAGCUCCAAUAGCGUAUAUUAAAAUUGUUGCAGUUAAAACGCUCGUAGUUGAAUUUCAAA
Molecule: ribosomal RNA, 456 nt
Filed under: Hepatocystis sp.
Lineage: Eukaryota; Apicomplexa; Aconoidasida; Haemosporida; Plasmodiidae
Description: SSU rRNA
Rfam family: Eukaryotic small subunit ribosomal RNA
Source: RNAcentral